Non-coding RNA from Pelobates cultripes (western spadefoot toad), 1544 nucleotides. Lineage: Eukaryota; Metazoa; Chordata; Amphibia; Anura; Pelobatidae. The record is from the annotation of a GenBank genome assembly.
UAUAUAUAUAUAUUUUUUUUUUAAUUCUAAUAUUCUGGCAAGAAAAAUGCAGAUUUUCUCUGAAAUGCCACUAUAGUCACAGUUUGCCUAUUUUAGUCUGUUGGCAAAUUCAGUUUUUAUUUCACAACAGUUCGUUGUUAAGUGAAUGAAUGGUUUAGAAUCUAAAAUAAUAAAACAAUUUGUCACACUCCUGUAACAUUUUUAACUAUUCUUUGCAUACUUACACAGGUAUUUUUUCAAGCAGUGAUUUUUUUUAUCACUCUCUAGCAUGAAAACCAGGUGGUAAAUAGCAUUUACCAGUCCCUGUCAGUCUCUGGUGUAGUUGUUAACAUUUUUUGGCAGUUGCUACUUACCAGUUGCUUAACAUUUUUUAAUUUUGCAUCAUGAAAACAGCCAGUAGUUGAUGUCUUAGUGAUGAGUAACUUGUUGAAUUUGUGGAUGGUUCCCUACAGUUCUUCAUCAGCUGUUCACAAUCAAAUUAACCUUUAAAGUUAUAAAAUGAUAUAAGAAAUAUAUAACAAGUACUAAGUGUGAGUGAAAAUAUAAUAAUAUAUAUGCAAAUAAAAAGAUCUACAGAAAUGCAGUAUGAAUAAAUAGUGUUUUUAAAGAAACGAUGAGCAACAGAAAAUAUUCAGUCAAGCAAUGAGUUUCAAAUUGGCCUUCUCAUCCCUUACUAAUUCUCACUACUUUUCCACGGGAAUGUUUUCUCCAAUGCGACACAGACUACAACCAUUUUUUGUAGAAUUUGUUUUCAUGGUUGAAUUGUGUACUUUGGCAUCACAUGACUCUGAGAAAGACUGAGGGACAAUAGGUAGUAUUUGGCAAAGUACAGUUACGUACAAUGCUCAGUCUAUGGAUCUUCUACUUUGUAUUUUUAUUUGUUACUGACUUGCCCAGUUUCUUCAGAUUUUAUAAAGAGGUCCAUUUUAAGGUAAGGGUCAAACAAUAUAUUCGCUGCUUUUAUAAAAUACAUUUCUUUUUUGUUAGUUUUUAUGCAAAUGUUUCUGUGUGUUUACCGUAAUGUUUUACUUUUACUUUUUUUAUUUUUCUGGUCCACAACACUGGUCCAAUUUAAUCAAUAUAAUUUAAAUUUGAGUGGCCUACAAUUUUUACACAGUGCUGCAAAUGUAACCUACACGUUGAUGGCAGAUAAAAGCCCAGUGGCCCAUCUAGUAUGCACAUAUGCACUCUUCAGGAGAGACAUGUUUAAUGUGUCUUACCCUCUCUUUCAAUUAAAUGCUUGUCACUCGUUCUAUGUUUUAUAUGAAUGUGGCAAUUUUACAUAAAUGGUUGAUAAGUAUUGUUCUUUUUAAUGUGGCACCAAUUUCCCAGUGCGGCAGCCCUGGCAAUAUAUAUAUAUAUAUAUUUGUUCAUUAUGCUUCUUUUUUUCCAUGACAAACAUUUAAAACACACAAUUAUGUGUUGCCUGAUCACGGGGACAGAAGUAUAGGCCAGUUUCUUAUGUGUUUUUUUUUUUCACUAACUGCUAAAGUGGGUAGAUGGAGCGUGUGUGUGUAUGUAUGUGUGUGUGUGUGUAUGUGUGU